GGGUUCGUAGCUCAGCUGGAUAGAGCGUCGCCCUCCGGAGGCGAAGGUCGUGGGUUCGAAUCCCGCCGAGCUCA
RNAcentral lists this transfer RNA (74 nucleotides) under Salinispira pacifica. RNAcentral describes it as "tRNA-Arg (CCG) (tRNA-Arg-CCG-1-1)". It matches the Rfam family "tRNA". Rfam says of the family: Transfer RNA (tRNA) molecules are approximately 80 nucleotides in length. Their secondary structure includes four short double-helical elements and three loops (D, anti-codon, and T loops). Lineage: Bacteria; Pseudomonadati; Spirochaetota; Spirochaetia; Spirochaetales; Spirochaetaceae. The record is from Rfam by way of RNAcentral.